Molecule: ribosomal RNA, 468 nt
Filed under: uncultured bacterium
Lineage: Bacteria
Description: partial 16S ribosomal RNA
Rfam family: Bacterial small subunit ribosomal RNA
Source: RNAcentral
GACGAACGCUGGCGGCGUGCUUAACACAUGCAAGUCGAACGGAAAGGCCCUGCUUUUGUGGGGUGCUCGAGUGGCGAACGGGUGAGUAACACGUGAGUAACCUGCUCUUGACUUUGGGAUAACUUCAGGAAACUGGGGCUAAUACCGGAUAGGAGCUCCUGCUGCAUGGUGGGGGUUGGAAAGUUUCGGCGGUUGGGGAUGGACUCGCGGCUUAUCAGCUUGUUGGUGGGGUAGUGGCUUACCAAGGCUUUGACGGGUAGCCGGCCUGAGAGGGUGACCGGCCACAUUGGGACUGAGAUACGGCCCAGACUCCUACGGGAGGCAGCAGUGGGGAAUAUUGCACAAUGGGCGGAAGCCUGAUGCAGCAACGCCGCGUGCGGGAUGACGGCCUUCGGGUUGUAAACCGCUUUCGCCUGUGACGAAGGGUGAGUGACGGUAAUGGGUAAAGAAGCACCGGCUAACUACGUG